AGAUCCAUAGGAGAAUAAUUGAUUAGAGCCGGACCAUACAGAUUUACAGUACCUUCAAAACACUGUUUCUCUUGGGUAUUAAGAUGAAAUCAGGUAAUCAUGGAUUAACUGUUUCUGCUAUCGCCAGCUUCAUUAACGGAUACAUGCAGGGAUUAUCUGAUUAUCCGGGGAAUGUCCAACUUGACUUCAGUUGCCGUUGGUCACAAGUAAAAAUUGACAUGUCCAAUCAUUAAUCCAUCCAUUAUAUUAUUGAUUACAAAGAGCUGUCAUUUUUCAAACUUCAAAUCUAUAUGGUUUUGGACUCAAUCAUGUCGGGUGCUAACUCAAGAUCGUUGAGAUCCACACGGCUUGCAGGAUAACGAGAAGAGAACAAGUCAUGGAAAUAUCGACACGUGACAGGGAUGUAUCGAUAUCGGACCUCUUCUCGAGGACCUCCCAUGUUUUCAUGAUUGAUGACGCGAUUAGCAUUAACUAAUCCUAUCUUUUAUUCCUUAUUGCAAGUUGGUUUUUCUUAUUAUGAGUGAUCAAUGCAAGCUAGUGCUGGAAAGAGGAGAAGAACAAGCAAUUAAAGCUCAGAAGCAAGUGGCAAGUGCUGAUGAUUGACAAAAAUAGACUAAACACACCCAUCUAUCAGGAUCGUAUCUUCGUAGCUAGUACAUGUACAGUACAGGCACUCCCCGUAAUUUGGAGAAGAGUACCGAGAUAAGUAUGUAUGUACAUGACACAAAGUGAGUUGGAUCAUGCAUAUGGGUCCCAGAUGUCUACAUCCUG
Molecule: RNA transcript, 771 nt
Organism: Oryza sativa Japonica Group (Japanese rice)
Lineage: Eukaryota; Viridiplantae; Streptophyta; Magnoliopsida; Poales; Poaceae
Source: RefSeq, a predicted model, not a curated record